RNAcentral lists this ribosomal RNA (1984 nucleotides) under human gut metagenome. RNAcentral's name for it is "bacterial LSU rRNA". It matches the Rfam family "Bacterial large subunit ribosomal RNA", at positions 1 to 1980 of the family's 2925-position model. The record is from RNAcentral.
UUAAGAUACUAAGAGCAUACGGUGGAUGCCUUGGCGAUAUCUGCCGACGAAGGACGUGACAAGCUGCGAAAAGCUGCGGAGAGAUGCAAAUAAUCGGCGACCCGCAGACAUCCGAAUGGAGAAAUCCGGCUGUGAUGAUGCACAGCCAUCCAUGCCCAAGAGCAUGAGAAGGGAACCGGGCGAACUGAAACAUCUAAGUAGCCCGAGGAAAAGAAAUCAAACGAGAUACCCCAAGUAGCGGCGAGCGAACAGGGAAGAAGCCCAAACCGGUGAAGGAAACUUUACCGGGGUUGAGGACCAUCAGAACCGCGAAGAACCUUAGCCGAAACUGUUGGGAAACAGUGCCGAAGACAGUGAAAGCCUGGUAGGCGAAAAAGAGAAACGCGGAGAUGGCACCAGAGUACCGCGGGACACGAGAAAUCCCGUGGGAAGCAGGGGGGACCACCCUCCAAGGCAAAACACAGAUAUCGACCGAUAGCGCAUAGUACCAUGAGGGAAAGGUGAAAAGCACCCCGGGAGGGGAAUGAAAGAGAACCUGAAACCGUAUGUUUACAAGCAGUCGGAGACCGCUUAAUAAUAAGGUCGACGGCGUGCCUAUUGAAGAAUGAACCGGCGAGUUACGAAGCCUGGCAAGGUUAAGCAGGAAAUGCGGAGCCGAAGCGAAAGCGAGUCUUAAGAGGGCGCAAGUCAGGAAGCGUAGACCCGAAACCACAGUGAUCUACCCAUGUCCAGGUUGAAACACAGGUAAAAAUGUGUGGAGGACCGAACCUAUAUCCGUUGAAAAGGGUUAGGAUGAGGUGUGGGUAGGGGUGAAAUUCCAAUCGAACGUGGAGAUAGCUGGUUCUCCCCGAAAUAGCUUUAGGGCUAGCCUCAGGGAAAAGAUUGCAGGCGGUAGAGCACUGAUCAGGAGAGGGACCUACCCGGUUACCAAACCCAGUCAAACUCCGAAUGGCUGCAAUCAUACCUGGGAGUCAGACUGCGACUAAUAAGGGCCGCAGUCAAAAGGGAAACAGCCCAGACCAUCAGCUAAGGUCCCCAAUGCCGUGCUAAGUGGCGAAGGAUGUGGCAUUUCAUAAACAACCAGGAUGUUGGCUCAGAAGCAGCCACCAUUUAAAGAGUGCGUAAUAGCUCACUGGUCGAGAGACGCUGCGCCGAAAAUGUCCGGGGCUCAAGCACGGAACCGAAGCUAUGGCAUGAUAGCAAUAUCAUGGGUAGGGGAGCGUUCUUAUAAGGAAGAAGCAUGACCGGAAGGACAUGUGGACAAAUAAGAAGUGAGAAUGCCGGUAUGAGUAUCGAAAAGAAAGGUGAGAAUCCUUUCCACCGAAAGCCCGAGGGUUCCUGAGCAACGAUCGUCGACUCAGGGUAAGUCGGGACCUAAGCCGAGGCGAGAAGCGUAGGCGAUGGACAACAGGUUGAAAUUCCUGUACCGGAUCAAGUCGAUCGAGCGAAGGAGCGACGCAGGAGGGCACAUGAUCGCGCGGCUGGAAGAGCGCGUCCAAGUGCGUAUGUUGCCGCAGAGGAAAACCCCUGCAGCUAAAAGCAGAGACAUGAUGGGGAGUUAAAGGAAACUUUGACGAACUCAUGGAUCCCACACUGCCAAGAAAAACUUCUAGCGAGACAAGAUCCGCCCGUACCGUAAACCGACACAGGUAGGCGGGGAGAGAAUCCUAAGGUGCGCGGGAAAACCCUCGUUAAGGAACUCGGCAAAUUGCAUCCGUAACCUAGGGAGAAGGAUGGCCCCCGGUCAGUGAAGAGCAGAAACGCUCAGAGCUAAAAGGGGCGGCAGAAAAGAGGCCCAAGCAACUGUUUACCAAAAACACAGGUGCCUGCGAAAGCGAAAGCUGAAGUAUAGGUGCUGACGCCUGCCCGGUGCCGGAAGGUUAAGGAGAGAAGUUAGCGAACGCGAAGCAUCGAACUGAAGCCCCGGUGAACGGCGGCCGUAACUAUAACGGUCCUAAGGUAGCGAAAUUCCUUGUCGGGUAAG